RNAcentral lists this unclassified non-coding RNA (19 nucleotides) under Dictyostelium discoideum. The record is from RNAcentral. Lineage: Eukaryota; Evosea; Eumycetozoa; Dictyosteliales; Dictyosteliaceae.
GGAACUAAAGAAAAGAAAA